This 103-nucleotide microRNA precursor is filed under the name Marmota monax (woodchuck). Lineage: Eukaryota; Metazoa; Chordata; Mammalia; Rodentia; Sciuridae. The record is from RNAcentral.
AGUGAAAUACCUGAGUUAAAUGGUGGUUCCAUUCCCAAUUUUCUAAGGAAUCUCCAUACUGCUUUCCAUAGUGGUUAUACCAAUUCACAGUCUCACCAGCAAU